UGGGGAAUUUUGGACAAUGGGCGAAAGCCUGAUCCAGCAAUGCCGCGUGUGUGAAGAAGGCCUUCGGGUUGUAAAGCACUUUUGUCCGGAAAGAAAUCCUUGGCUCUAAUACAGUCGGGGGAUGACGGUACCGGAAGAAUAAGCACCGGCUAACUACGUGCCAGCAGCCGCGGUAAUACGUAGGGUGCAAGCGUUAAUCGGAAUUACUGGGCGUAAAGCGUGCGCAGGCGGUUUGCUAAGACCGAUGUGAAAUCCCCGGGCUCAACCUGGGAACUGCAUUGGUGACUGGCAGGCUAGAGUAUGGCAGAGGGGGGUAGAAUUCCACGUGUAGCAGUGAAAUGCGUAGAGAUGUGGAGGAAUACCGAUGGCGAAGGCAGCCCCCUGGGCCAAUACUGACGCUCAUGCACGAAAGCGUGGGGAGCAAAACAGGAUUAGAUACCCUGGUAGUCCACGCCCUAAAACGAUGUCAACUAGUUGUUGGGGAUUCAUUUCCUUAGUAACGUAGCUAACGCGUGAAGUUGACCGCCUGGGGAGUACGGUCGCAAGAUU
Molecule: ribosomal RNA, 549 nt
Filed under: uncultured bacterium
Lineage: Bacteria
Description: partial 16S ribosomal RNA
Rfam family: Bacterial small subunit ribosomal RNA
Source: RNAcentral